RNAcentral lists this long non-coding RNA (228 nucleotides) under Elaeis guineensis (African oil palm). RNAcentral describes it as "long non-coding RNA (EGUI_LNC045672)". Lineage: Eukaryota; Viridiplantae; Streptophyta; Magnoliopsida; Arecales; Arecaceae. The record is from RNAcentral.
UCUUCUCCAUAAGUCUAGGGAAGAUACUAACCCUAGCAACCCCUCUUCUUCUUCCCUGCCGCCAUCAUAUUCCUCCAUAGAUCUCUUCUCCACAUCUCAAAAAGUCUAGGGGAGGUCAUAACCCUAGCAUCCCUUCCAUCAAAUCUAGGAGAGGUCCUAAUCCUAGUACUGCUAUUCUUCUUUUCCAUAUUUUCAUACUUCCAUCUACCUUUCUUUCUUAGAGUUCCU